CGUGUAGGCGGCUUGAUAAGUCAGAUGUGAAAGCCCUGGGCUCAACCCGGGAAGUGCAUUUGAAACUGUCCUGCUUGAGUAAGGGAGAGGGAAGUGGAAUUCCUGGUGUAGAGGUGAAAUUCGUAGAUAUCAGGAGGAACACCGGUGGCGAAGGCGACUUCCUGGCCCUAUACUGACGCUGAGACGCGAGAGCGUGGGGAGCAAACAGGAUUAGAUACCCUGGUAGUCCACGCCGUAAACGAUGUUCACUAGGUGUUGGGGGUAUUGACCCCCUCAGUGCCGGAGCUAACGCAUUAAGUGAACCGCCGUGGGGAGUACGGUCGCAAGAACUAAA
Molecule: ribosomal RNA, 334 nt
Filed under: uncultured bacterium
Lineage: Bacteria
Description: bacterial SSU rRNA
Rfam family: Bacterial small subunit ribosomal RNA
Source: RNAcentral